RNAcentral lists this ribosomal RNA (460 nucleotides) under uncultured bacterium. RNAcentral describes it as "partial 16S ribosomal RNA". It matches the Rfam family "Bacterial small subunit ribosomal RNA", at positions 338 to 795 of the family's 1533-position model. The record is from RNAcentral.
CCUACGGGAGGCAGCAGUGAGGAAUAUUGGUCAAUGGGCGCGAGCCUGAACCAGCCAAGUAGCGUGAAGGAUGACUGCCCUACGGGUUGUAAACUUCUUUUAUAAAGGAAUAAAGUGAGGCACGUGUGCCUUUUUGUAUGUCCUUUAUGAAUAAGGAUCGGCUAACUCCGUGCCAGCAGCCGCGGUAAUACGGAGGAUCCGAGCGUUAUCCGGAUUUAUUGGGUUUAAAGGGAGCGUAGAUGGGUUGUUAAGUCAGUUGUGAAAGUUUGCGGCUCAACCGUAAAAUUGCAAUUGAUACUGGCAGUCUAGAGUACAGUUGAGGUAGGCGGAAUGCGUGGUGUAGCGGUGAAAUGCUGAGAUAUCACGAAGAACUCCGAUUGCGAAGGCAGCUGACGAAGCUGCCACUGACAUUGAUGCUCGAAAGUGUGGGUAUCAAACAGGAUUAGAUACCCCAGUAGUC